This 475-nucleotide unclassified non-coding RNA is filed under the name Acacia lullfitziorum. Its description in RNAcentral is "partial contains external transcribed spacer and small subunit ribosomal RNA". The stretch from base 412 to 475 matches the Rfam family "Eukaryotic small subunit ribosomal RNA", at positions 1 to 64 of the family's 1831-position model. Lineage: Eukaryota; Viridiplantae; Streptophyta; Magnoliopsida; Fabales; Fabaceae. The record is from RNAcentral.
UGGGGCGUGUGAGUGGUGUUUGGAUCGUCCCUGCCGGCUGGCUCCGUGCCCGUCCACCGAACGGUCGGCAGGCGAUCCGCGUCGGUCGCGCGAGGUGGGAUGGUUCCCAAGAGGCUGGUUCUUGUGUUGCCUACCCCUUUCAGGGGAAGCGCCCCGCUUGACGGUUGAAGCCUCCAUCCGGCGCCUUCCAAUGGGCGCAGGAGGACAACGGAGCACCCCCCGCGUUCCACCGAGCCGUCGUCGGUCGCGUGGCCCGCGGGGGAGUGCGAUGCUCUCGGACCCAGCGCACGCCGUGGGCGAGGACUCACGUCCCAGUCCCAAGAGAAGCUUCGGUAUGAUGCAUGACGGCCGCCCCCGACCCCCGACCGCCUCGGCGGUGCUGGGGCGAGGGGCGGCGUCGCGGAGGAAUGCUACCUGGUUGAUCCUGCCAGUAGUCAUAUGCUUGUCUCAAAGAUUAAGCCAUGCAUGUGUAAGU